RNAcentral lists this ribosomal RNA (292 nucleotides) under uncultured bacterium. RNAcentral describes it as "partial 16S ribosomal RNA". RNAcentral also lists the same sequence under 1 other name. The record is from RNAcentral.
GGACUACUGGGGUAUCUAAUCCUGUUUGCUCCCCACGCUUUCGUGCAUGAGCGUCAGUGCUGGCCCAGGAGGCUGCCUUCGCCAUCGGUGUUCCUCCACAUCUCUACGCAUUUCACUGCUACACGUGGAAUUCCACCUCCCUCUGCCACACUCCAGCUCGCCAGUCACAAGCGCAAUUCCCAAGUUAAGCUCGGGGCUUUCACACCUGUCUUAACGCGCCGCCUGCGCACGCUUUACGCCCAGUAAUUCCGAUUAACGCUCGCACCCUACGUAUUACCGCGGCUGCUGGCAC